AUGAACGCUGGCGGCGUGCUUAACACAUGCAAGUCGCACGAGAACUCUUCUGCUUGCAGAAGAUAGUAAAGUGGCGCACGGGUGAGUAACGCGUGGGUAAUCUGCCUCUGAAUUGGGGAUAACCCCGCGAAAGCGGGGCUAAUACCGAAUAAUAUCCCGAGAACUUAGGCUUUUGGGAUCAAAGGUGGCCUCUACAUGUAAGCUAUUGUUUGGAGAUGAGCCCGCGUACCAUUAGCUUGUUGGUAGGGUGAUGGCCUACCAAGGCAACGAUGGUUAGCUGGUCUGAGAGGAUGAUCAGCCACACUGGAACUGAAACACGGUCCAGACUCCUACGGGAGGCAGC
Molecule: ribosomal RNA, 343 nt
Filed under: uncultured bacterium
Lineage: Bacteria
Description: bacterial SSU rRNA
Rfam family: Bacterial small subunit ribosomal RNA
Source: RNAcentral